Molecule: long non-coding RNA, 306 nt
Organism: Brassica oleracea var. oleracea
Lineage: Eukaryota; Viridiplantae; Streptophyta; Magnoliopsida; Brassicales; Brassicaceae
Exons: 3
Source: RefSeq, a predicted model, not a curated record
UAGCCUUACUUUCGAUGAGCAGACUAUUAUCACUGGUCAUCAGUACCAGUCAUGGCUCCAGGAUGCUUCCGACAUUCUGACGAGGGAAAAGAAGAGAAAGGGACUCCUUAGACCCAGCAUGUACGUUAAACGUCUGAAGCUCCCACCUACACAACUCUUUGAAGAGCAUGUGGACGGUUCUUACCCAUCUGAAACAACUCCACGCCCUGAUUUCCGCUGCAUACAUCACCGCAGUGCCACAAGCUCCCAAAAUGCUGGGAGACUUGGGGACACUCUUGCUGGUAAAGGUUUGAUGUCUGGAACUCG